RNAcentral lists this ribosomal RNA (253 nucleotides) under uncultured bacterium. Its description in RNAcentral is "partial 16S ribosomal RNA". It matches the Rfam family "Bacterial small subunit ribosomal RNA", at positions 524 to 776 of the family's 1533-position model. The record is from RNAcentral.
UACGUAGGUGGCAAGCGUUGUCCGGAUUUACUGGGCGUAAAGGGCGUGCAGGCGGUUUGUUUAGUCUAGGGUGAAAGCUCCCGGCUUAACUGGGAGAGGUCCUUGGAUACUGGCAAACUUGAGGGAGGCAGAGGAAAGUGGAAUUCCCGGUGUAGUGGUGAUAUGCGUAGAUAUCUGGAGGAACACCGGUGGCGAAGGCGGCAUCCUGGACCGAGAUUGACGCUGAGGCGCGAAAGCCAGGGGAGCAAACGGG